RNAcentral lists this ribosomal RNA (208 nucleotides) under uncultured bacterium. RNAcentral describes it as "partial 16S ribosomal RNA". It matches the Rfam family "Bacterial small subunit ribosomal RNA", at positions 568 to 774 of the family's 1533-position model. The record is from RNAcentral.
CUCGUAGGCGGUUUGGUAAGUCGGGUGUGAAAUCUCCACGCUCAACGUGGAGGGGCCACUCGAUACUGCCAUGACUCGAGUCCGGUAGAGGAGUGUGGAAUUCCCGGUGUAGCGGUGAAAUGCGCAGAUAUCGGGAGGAACACCCGUAGCGAAGGCGGCACUCUGGGCCGGCACUGACGCUGAGGAGCGAAAGCGUGGGGAGCAAACA